UAAGUAUUUUUUCACUUUUGGAAAAUUCAUGAAUAAGGCCCAAGAGUCAAAAUAUACAAACCACAAAGUCUCUUGAGGGUGUGUUUCAUGUUGUUUUAAAAACGUUCUUUUUUUGUAAAUUUUAAGUUAGAAAAGGGAAAGCGUGCCCUUAAAAAUUUGCUUGAUAGUAUCAUUUUAAAAAUUGCUUUUACAAGAUGUAAAAGUCAAAAAAGCACUUUUAGGAAAAGCUAGAAAAUCCGAACUUCUAGCUUCUUCUUUUGUGAGAUUAUUCCUUGCCUUUCAAAUAUGGUAAGCUCAUCUACUGAAGUAGUUUUAUAAUGUAUGAUCACCAAGUAAUAAGUAUUACCAAAAGGUGCUUUUUUAUUUAAGAACUCCAAUGGAUGUGAUUUUUGAGAAUGCUUUUUAAAAAGUAGAAGCCAUAUCAAACACUCCCUUGUGAGGUGGAUCUUCAAGGAUUAAUGUACUCAGUGACUUGUUGAUUCAUACUGUGUUUGGAUGAUGCAUAGAUUAACUAUAUACAUUCUUGCUUUCAUGAUUGCCUGAUUUAAUAUUAGCUAAUAUAUUCGCACUAAAUAAGAAUUUCUUGCCUUUUCUUUCGGUUACGCUGCAUUUUUAACUUGUCUUUCUGCAUAGUUUCUAUUAGUUUAGGAUCUUUCCUUUAUAGUCUUCUUUGUGUGUGUGCAUUCAUUAGUUUUCUUCUGCAACAUACAUUUUACUAGUGUUUGUCCUAACCUGGUAGUAGCAAGGCAUCAUAUAGAUCACUCCCCUGUCUGUCCUCUGCAGAUUUUGUAAUGUGGGCUUGGUCCUCAUAUUACUAUUUCAAUAGCCGUAGUGGACUCAAGGACACACUCGAAGCAAGGCAGAUGUAUCUAUUGAUUGUGCAUGUUCUUUAGUUAUUGAGGAUGACUCGUAUAUUGUCAUAGACCCAUAGUUUGGCUGGCCAAUCCAACACUAUCAGAGAGGAGCGUAGCAAACCUGUUUAGAAAAUACUAGCAACAAGCUUGAUCGAUGCAUGUUAAGUAUAAUAAGGAAAAAUGGAGAAAACUUAAGGUACAAUUAGAUAAAUAUUUAUUGGGUUUUUUGCUAUAUACCCCUACUAAUAUGCCUUGUUGCAUAUUUAUGCUUUGAAAACUGCAUGCCUGUAUACCCUCAUCCUAUUUUUUUGCAACAAUACCUCUCUCAUUUUUGGCUAACAGUGUUAAAUGAAUAACAGUUUUAAGCAUGAAAAUGACAUUUUUACCCUUUUGUAUUAAUACCCUAGAUAAAUUUACUAUUCAAUUGUACUUUAGAAAGCUAUAUUUUUGCAUAAAAUUUUCAAGGAUAUUGAUGUAAAAGGAUAAGUGUCAUUUUACACUUAAAGCAUUUACUUAUAGAUACUGUUGGCCAAAAAUGUAGUGGAAGGGGCAUCAUUGCAAAAACAAGGUGAUUUGAGAUACAUACAUACGUACAUACAUGUAUUUUUGCAAUCUUUUGAAGGGUAAACAUGUAAUAAACCAUAUUUGCAGGCAUACGUAUACAGAAAUCCCUUUUUUGUUUUACAAAUUAUAUAUGUUAAAAAUGGAAGGCAAUCUUUUGGAAUAUAGAAUUAGCUGGAUUUUCUGGAUAUUAUCAUCUCAGAUAAAAUUAUUUUUUAGUAGACUAUUCAGCGAGAAUUUUCUUUUCACUUUCUGGAGACAUAGUUUCAACUACUAGGUUUUGGAAGAUGAAAAAAACCAUAUGACUGGAUUCUAUCUGAAAUGAGAUGUGUGAAGGCUAUACUUCUAAGAAAAACAUGGGAGAGUUUUAUAUGGAAGCUUUCUAAAAAAUUUAAAAGGAAAGGAAGAAGUAGUAACAUGGAAGAGAUUAGGGGCAAGUUAGAGAGAGACAGAAUAUAUAAAUUAGGGAGUGUUUGUGUUAAAAAAAUUAUGGGAUUGAGUUGUUGAAAUAUGGGUGCAAGAGAGAGAGGUAUUAUGAACUGUGAUGAGGUGUGCGGGUUGAAGUUUGUUGUGGAGUUUAGCUGAGAUUUGACUCAUUUUUUGCAGUGAUUAUAUUAAAGAGUUUUUAUAUGACCAAUUAAUAUUUCUUUAAAGGUCAGAGCUCUGAGGCUCUCUUUUAUGUAUGUGCUAUAGAUAUAUGGGGCCAUAACCAAGGACCUAUUUUGGUUAUAAAGUUUGAUGUAUCUUUUAAUAGGUGAAUCAGGCAGUGGAUUGGGCUGCUUGGGAAGCACUCAUUUAUUAAAGCUGAAAAUAAACUAUGGGUAUCUACAUACCUGUGAGAGUUCACUAAAUUGUAAUCAGAGAUAUAGGUGCUGGUUUUAGGAGCUUGUAGUUAAAUAAGCAGUAGCGGUUCCGACCCACACGCAGACAGGGAAAAGAGUUAGCUAUUAAACUUUGUUUUUGGAAGGCAGUUGAUUGUUNNNNNNNNNNNNNNNNNNNNNNNNNNNNNNNNNNNNNNNNNNNNNNNNNNNNNNNNNNNNNNNNNNNNNNNNNNNNNNNNNNNNCAAGAGGUGAUGUUAGCCUUUCCAGGUUAUUUGAUUGUAAUCUGAAUUUUCUAAAUGUAGCUUUCUGUUCCUUGAUAUUUUCUAGUAAAGACGUGUGAAGCAUAUUAUCUCGACUAUAUUGAAAAAUGACAGAUUUAACAUUAAAAAAAUAUUCUUUCUAGAUUCUAUCUAUCUUUUUCUUUUAUACCUAAAUCAUCCAUCCAUUUUUCUUAAAAUGUGUAACUUAUGCCUGAAAACUCUUCACUAAACCUGAUUCCUAAUAAGCAGUUCCACUUACCUAAAAUACUUCUCUUGCCAACUAAAGUCCUAUAAUUAGAGUUGGAAGUGGGCUCGUUCCAGCCCAAGGCCCAUUGGGGUGGGCUGACUUCUAAUUGUGCUACAGGCUAGGCCUAAGUAUUUUUGGAUUGGGUUUGGGUUUACAAUUAGGGCCCAUAUACAUCUUUGGCUAGGCUCAGUAGUUAUUUGGCCCGACUUGGGCUUGGCCUGAGCAUGAACUAAAUGAGGCUUGUGGCACUAGGCUGAGCUCGUAGCACACAACCACAAUACCAGGCUGAACUUGAACCAGGCCCGUAGUGCCAUUCGCUUCCUCGGCAUCCGACAUACCAGAAGCACCUCUAAGUGAAGGCAGGGUCGACUACCCAGGGAAGAAAACCAGACUUGGAGGUCUGGGAGGAGGAGGGGGGGCUCUUUCGGGGGGGUGGGUGGGGGUGGACGGUAACUUGGUAGGGCCAUGAUUAACACAUUAAGAGGGGAGCUGGAACCCUAAUCCUAGGCGGGGAAUGGUGCCGCCGCCCAUGAGACUAAGAAGAGGAGAGGAGGGGAACUGAGGGGAAUGAGGCGGACAAGAUGACCCCUCUGUCCUUGUUUGUGUGUCUGUGUUUCUUUUCAUUGCCUUUUGCCAGUGAGCCUAAGCCCAAUUCAGUUUUGGGCCAGGCCCAAGCCUAGGCUCAAGUUGGGCUUGAGCUUGGAUUUUUGAAAAUUUUUGGGCCUAAGCCUAGCCCGAAGCCUGACAAAAAAUUUGGGCCGGGUUCGGUAGGGGCGUGGCUUAGCUCUUUUCCAACCCUACCUAUAAUUGGCAAUCCCUUUUGAAUAUGGAAAAUCAAUCUAUUGAAAAUAUGGAAGGACUUUGGGUUGCUUUUGAAUUUUGACCUAACAAAAAUGUGGAAAAUUUCUUCCAAAUAAAAUGUUGCUUGUUGGAAGUUAAUUUUUUAAAACUAUUUUUUAAAGAAGGAAACUUGAUCUAAUAAACAUAUGGAAAGAUUGUGUUGUUUCUAAAAAUGUGAUGUGACUAGAUUAUGGAGUGAUUUCUUCCAAAUCAAAUCCUAUUUAUUGCUGAUUUUUUUUAAAAUAUAAUAUUCUUUUUUUAUUUUAAUCAUAUAUUUUUUAUAAUUUCUAUGUGAUCUAACUUUCAGAUUUUAUUCUAUUUUCCCUCAAUCUUGUAAUAUAAUAAUGGAAAGCGAUAUGAUUGGGUCUAUAGAGAGUUGAGGUGUAGUUACUAUUGUAUUGAAAACCCUUAUGUGGAUUUUUUUUUCAAACUUGGAGACUUGCAAGCAAGGUUCAAGGUAUUGGUGCUAGUAUUGGUACCUUGUACUCAUAUUUGUACCUUACCGAUAUGGUAUGGACCAGUACACUAUCGUAUCAUACAUGGUAGAACUUUAUGCCAGGAUAGAGAAAAUAGAGGUGAAAGACCACAUAUUAGUACAGUACGACUAUAGAGGGUAAGGUUCGCCGUCUUGGUACUGGACCCUGUAUCGGUGCUACACUAGCACAUUGCCGGUAUGGUACGGUAUGAAUUUUUUUUUGGCAUACCGAGUGUCGGUAUGCCACCUGUACUAGACAUCAGUACCGAACCGAACCGAUACGGUACGUCUUGUACCAUCCGGUUCGGGCCGGUAAAGUGAACCAUGAUGGAGGGUGUACCAAUACCUUAUUGAGACUGUCUAGUAUGGCCAAAUACGAUAUUUAAAUCCUUGCCGAUAAGGAGGCUUUCAUGAGAUAAAGAGCAAAAACCAAUUUUAGUUAGCCAUUAAUGGGGAUAUAUGAAGCUACAGAGAUUGUUAUACUCAAUUAAACAUUAGAUGGGACUCUUGAUUGCAUUCAGUUUAUCAGAAAGUAUCUCUACUCUGUUUACAUAUAUAAUGUAUGAAUUGAAUAGAACCAGUCAAGUUGAUACAUUUAUUUUGGAAGGCAGACAUGAUAUAUUAAUAGUUCUAUUUCCAAGGCAUCAUCUCUAUCCAUAUGACAUUGCUGCCCUCCCAUUAGCAUACAAGAUGGCACUAUCUAGGCUAUAGAUAUAGUCAUAAUACAAAAUUCAGUAAAAUACUUGUCAAUUCUGCAUGAAACAUAUUUUCUUUAACUAAUCAUGAACAUGCUUAUCUUUUGUGGGAACAUAUAAUCAAAGUCCAGAAAUACCAACAUCACACAUCAUAUAUUAGAGGGAGUAUGUAGUCUAAAUGGCACUGUUGUAGGAACCAUCUAAAAUUGUGACCAUUGUCACAUGUUUGAUUUGAUUUUUCUUAAGUUCAAUAAACUUUGCCCAUGACAUGGAUCAUGGGCAGCACAAUAGGCAAUAAUCUUGUUAGGGUGCUUUCUUGAUUAUUACAGACAAUUUUAUCCUCAUUACGGCUACCUUUGGUGGGAGAAUUGUUAAUUUCAUAUUGCUGGAGUCUGAGUUUAGAACCAAUGGCCAUUAGGGGUUUCUCUGGACAUGCAGUGUGCCAGUGUCUAAAUAAUCUUGUGGUUGGGAUGCCUUAAGGUAAAUGUGUUGCUGCUUAGACACUUGGCAUGAAUGCCAAGAAUACAGGUGUCCCAAAAUGUCCUGAGUCCUGACACUUCAACAUCUAUGUACAUGUAUAUUAUAAAUAUUUGGAAAUGUGUUUUUCAAUAUAUUAAAAGAUACUACUGGACUAAAUCAACUUGUUAAUUUUAAUGCUUGUAAACACUGUAUUUUAUGCUAUACUACAUUUAUGGGUCCAGAGGACACUGCCAAAAUUUUUUUACACCUUUGGGUUGACAUAAGUAGGACUUAGGUUUCUGGAUGGCCUGGCUGGCUCAAUUGGCCUGAAAAAGUCUUCAGUUCGGGCUCNNNNNNNNNNNNNNNNNNNNNNNNNNNNNNNGAAGAAUUUGAAGCCUGAAUUAUUUCAUCGCAGCUCUAUUUCCAUAUUUUUAGAAUAUCCAACUAGGUCCUGUUCUAAGCUUCGCUCAGCCUGACUUAGGAUGAAUUCAGGUCUGUUUUUGGCCGGGACAGGCUUGGUGGUUUCAGCUUUAUGGGAGGCAUAAGCAUAUGUCAGCCUGCUGACAUCCUGUUUACACCACUUAACAGGAUGUUCCAUUUUUGGGGAAUCUAGGACUCCUGUUGUGUCCGAGUGGUUGGAACUGUUGGCACUCCAUAAAUCCUGCACAUUGUACUAUAUAUCCAGCGUUCAUAAAUUGAUAAUGAGCUACAAUUUCAAGAACACGAUUCAUGAUAAAACUUCCUCUUUAAAAUAAAGGAGGUAAUCACAAAAGUACAUACAGUUUUAGUAAUUUAAAUCGCUACAUUUCUAAGAAAUUUCUUAUUAAUGUUACCAGAGAUGGAUUAUUGGAUCAUCUGUCAGAGUCCUGUUUGUAACAAAUUAUUGGACCAUUUGCUGACAUCUAUGGUUGCAUCAAAAUAUUUUUGAUUUCAUCUGUUUGUGUUCUAUCAAGAAUGGAUUUGGUUUGAGUUUUAGUUUCUGUUUUAUAAUAUUGGGAGAAUGUCUAUUAUGUUUCAGAUCAUUCAUGAAUGAGUGCUGAUACACUCUCCAAAUCUCAUUCCCAAGUAGUUUAAACCACAAUAAGAUCUGAUUCUUGCAUGUGGGGGUGUCUAGUGAGGGUGAAAAUUCCCCUUUGCCCUCUCAUAACCAGUUUUCAUGUUGGUUUUGACUAUCUGGGGAUACAUUCAUGGAGUGAUGAUGCAGUUGUACCAAAUUUGUGAAUGGCCAAGGUGAUUUUUUACAACUUUUCCCUGCAACUAAUUUCUGUUGACUACCACGGGCUGUAAGUUGUUAUUCUUAAGAAGGAAACAAUAUAACUAGUUAUUUUGGUGAACACCUGAAGCUGAUGGAAACAUGAAAAUGAUAAAAAAAUAUAGGUUUGGUGGAUGAACUUCCUGAAUUUUGAAGUCAGAAACUAUUUCUUUGUGAACAUCUGAAUCUGAUGCAAAGUGGAGCUCUAUGGUUUUUGACAUGAUAAAUUUGUGCUCCUUGUGAUUGCACUAAUGUGGACAUGUCAUCUCAGACCUUUACAUUAUGUACACUAAGUUUCACUAGAUCUUGGCUCAUGCCAUGCAUGUUAGAAAAAGAUGGACGACCAUGAACCCUCCAUCAAAUUAAAGAUUAUUUUCUAUUCUUGUUUCUCCUUGGUAACACACACACACACACACACACACACACACACACACAGAGAGAGAGAGAGAGAGAGAGAGANNNNNNNNNNNNNNNNNNNNNNNNNNNNNNNNNNNNNNNNNNNNNNNNNNNNNNNNNNNNNNNNNNNNNNNNNNNNNNNUCUUUUUCUCUCUAUAUAGUUUCCUUCUUGGCUGAGUGCCCAUGGGACAGCGGAACAACCGAUGACCAUCCAAGGAGAGAUUGUUUUAUAUAGCAUAUGCACUUGUGCUUCUAAAUUAUUAUCAUUAAGAUCAAGUUCUUUAAAUUCCAAUGUUUGUUAUGUUCUUGAUAUACUUCAAAACAUGACAUCUACAUGCCGUGAUGAAAAUUGACUGCUUUUUCUAGACCAGAAAUGAAAAUUACUGUUGUUGCUGCUGCCGCCGCUGCCGCUUCUAGACCAGAAAUGGAAGUUGUUGUUAUUCUUGUUGCUGCUCCUGUCGUCGUCGUUGUUGUUGUUAUUGUUCUUGUUGCUGCGUUGGUGGUAGCGGUGGUGGUCAAAUGCCUUAAUAGCUAAUGGCAGACUGCACCUAUUUAGAUCCAGCAUUCCGCUAGUUUCUAAAAGGAGCUGGUUGAACCAUGCGUUCUAAUUUGUUCAGUUAUGUAUUUUGCAGAGUGGGAUGACAAGGAAGGAGGUAAAGAAGCCUUGCAGCAGUGGGAGGAUGAUUGGGACGACGAUGAUACCAAUGAUGACUUCUCUCUGCAGCUGAGGAGGGAGCUGGAGAACAACUCAGAGAAGAGUUGAAUUUUCUCUUCAUGUACGGACGCUAGCAGACGUGAAAUACAUGGUGGUAAAUUCGGAUUCAUAUCAUUAAAACAUAUUAUACAUCACAAUUUUUAAUAUAUAGCAUGUUUCCAUUCUGAAAUUUUCAUAUCAUUUUUGCUUUUGUAUUUUAUAUGACUGAAUAUUCACCAAAAAAAAAGAAAAAGACUGAACCAUGGGUGCAGGCUUGCACAGGUUUCAAGCACCUAGUUUGUUGCCCCGGUGGCACAAAAUUGAGUGUUUGUGUAACAACAAAUUCAGAUGCAACAAACAGGGAGGAUGCCCUAUUGGUUCAUCAUGGCAUCCAGGGAUUAUGAUUGUUGGUAAUACUAUCUGGGGUGGGCUUGUUCGGUUUCAGACAAAUUUAAUUAUAAGAUUCAAUAAUGUUAAAAACUGAAUUCAAAGAGGUGUUGGAUAGUUCCAAAGAUGUUAAUAAGGAUCUUCAUAUCAGGUUCAUGUUACUUGGAAACCUGUAGAGAGCUCAAGGUCGCUUGUCAGUGGUUUUUCUCCUACCUCUGUUGACCAGUUGGCCUGCCCCUGGAUGCAGUAUGCCUGGCUGGUUCCGGUGAACUGCAGGGGCUGUCGGACAAGUAUCCAGUGACUGCCCUGAUCAAUACCUUCCUUGAUUUCUGUUAAGCACCCAUGCGAGUCAUAGGUAUCGUAUUGGACUGUCAUGCAGGUUCCUGUGGUUCACUAGAACCUGUAAGGUGAACCAUGUCCCCUUCGAAGUAACCCAACCAAAUCAUGUUAGGCUGAGGAAUAGGUUCGCUUCGCUGCUGGCAAGUGCAACCCAAGAUGAAUGGUGAUUGGGGCUGUUUGUGAGAUUCGUAACACUGGUUACUUCAGCACUGCUUGAGGGUGUGCUUGCACUAGCGGCAAGGCAAACCGAUUUCUUUUUGGCCAAUGAUACUACACACCAAUUGCCUCUAAGCAGCUUGCUAGACUCAGUUUGGAUCAAACUUGUUUAUCUUAGAGAUUGGGAGGGAUGGAUUCCUGCCCUUCUAUUCUAAAGUUGACCGCAACUGGAAUUGAACCCCCGCCCUCUUACCUAGGUGGCAAGGGUGAUAUCAUCCGAGCAAGUGGUUGGUGCUUUUAUCAGACAUGUAUUGAAAUGAGAUAAGUUUGCUGCAUCCAACAACCUAAUCAAACUUGGGUUUCGGGAUGUUGCUCCACUCUAACGUGCUGGUAGUGGCUAUACUCGUGUAUCUAUUUGAUUUCUCUUUAAUACAAAUAUUCUCGCUUGUAAUAUAACACGUGAAAGGACCGCGAAGUAUAUCAAGCGUAACGCCCCCCCUCCCCAAAUGAGUCAAUGCAAUAACCAAGAUACUUGAUAUGGCGGGAAUUGAACCCAUGAUAUCUAGCAAAUAUGGUGGGAAUUAGACCCAUGAUAUCUAGCAAACCUGAGCUCCGAUACCAUGUUGGCUAAUCAACUGACAACAAAAAAUUGAGCUAAUAGGGGAUGGGUCAAUAAUAUAUCUCAGGCUUAACACUCUCAAUCGUAUGUGGCGUGGAUGAUGCACAUGGAGGCAAAUCAAAUUAUGAUAUCAUUUGAUAAGGGGAUAAAUGGGGAGUUUGAGUCCCACUUGGAGAGGCUUGAUAGACAAGUUGAAACCUAAUUCAAUUUUAAAAACUCAAUCUAUCUACUUUUCACUAAUUGUUCUAUGUGGGACUAAAUUUCAUGCAUGAUCCUUGUGAGUCAAUUUAACUAUCUCGAG
RNAcentral lists this long non-coding RNA (9357 nucleotides) under Phoenix dactylifera (date palm). RNAcentral describes it as "long non-coding RNA (PDAC_LNC008839)". Lineage: Eukaryota; Viridiplantae; Streptophyta; Magnoliopsida; Arecales; Arecaceae. The record is from RNAcentral.